UAGAUCCUUUGCUACAAUUACCCCAUUCUGGAUGAAUCUCUCCCCAUCGAGCUGGCCCCUUUUCACUAUUUUUGUCGUAAUCAAAUUCUCUCUCAUCAUCAACUUCUUGAGAUCUUGCUGGGAGGGUAUGCAAGAGAAGAGAAAUCAAGAAAAUGGAACACAACAACUUGAUUGCAAGCUUUCCCAUAUCUUCUAGCGAAAAUUAGACUUCAACACCUGAUAAAGAUUAAAAAGAAGUAGAGGCUUAAUUGUG
This 253-nucleotide unclassified non-coding RNA is filed under the name Hevea brasiliensis (rubber tree). Lineage: Eukaryota; Viridiplantae; Streptophyta; Magnoliopsida; Malpighiales; Euphorbiaceae. The record is from RNAcentral.